AGGAUGAACGCUGGCGGUCUGCUUAACACAUGCAAGUCGAACGGGCGUAGCAAUACGUUAGUGGCGGACGGGUGAGUAACGCGUGAGAAUCUACCUUCAGGACGGAGACAACAGUUGGAAACGACUGCUAACCCCCGAUGUACUGAAAAGGCAAAUAUUUAUAGCCUGAAGAAGAGCUCGCGUCCGAUUAGCUAGUUGGAGAGGUAAAAGCUCACCAAGGCGACGAUCGGUAGCUGGUCUGAGAGGACGAUCAGCCACACUGGGACUGAGACACGGCCCAGACUCCUACGGGAGGCAGCAGUGGGGAAUUUUCCGCAAUGGGCGAAAGCCUGACGGAGCAAGACCGCGUGGGGGAAGAAGGCUCUUGGGUUGUAAACCCCUUUUCUCUGGAAGAAGUUGUGAAGCAGCCUGACGGUACCAGAGGAAUCAGCAUCGCUAACUCCGUGCCAGCAGCCGC
RNAcentral lists this ribosomal RNA (457 nucleotides) under uncultured bacterium. RNAcentral's name for it is "SSU rRNA". It matches the Rfam family "Bacterial small subunit ribosomal RNA", at positions 26 to 518 of the family's 1533-position model. The record is from RNAcentral.